This 25-nucleotide non-coding RNA is filed under the name Rattus norvegicus (Norway rat). Lineage: Eukaryota; Metazoa; Chordata; Mammalia; Rodentia; Muridae. The record is from RNAcentral.
GUAAAAUGGGGAUAAUAUUGGGUAA